Non-coding RNA from Neolamprologus brichardi, 412 nucleotides. NCBI's taxonomy places the organism in Eukaryota, Metazoa, Chordata, Actinopteri, Cichliformes, Cichlidae. The record is from RefSeq and is a predicted model, not a curated record.
GGCUGUGCGGUAGCUUCUAUAAAAGCGCCUCUCGCCCGCUUCUCUGCCUCAUUCCUCGGACGACUUGCAGAUUAACAACUUAAAACACCCAAAAAUACAGACGGACCUUCAAAGAUGAAGGAUCACGAUGCUUAUCCUGACUUCUCGAAAUCAGCAGAUGCUCGAUGGUGCCGUGAAAGCCCAGAGAUGUGACUUGUCUGUAGGGGACUGAGGAGGUGUCCUCAGGUCCGAGUCCUAUUGCUAACAGGUAAUGCAUGUAAAUUCUUGAUCAUGUGUUACCAUAAGAGACUGUUAAUGAUGACUUUUGUUUUUAAAACAAUGGGAAUCUCUCUGAAAAAGAGUGAAAGAGGACUUUUUUCUGAUGCAGUUAAAACUAUAUUACAUACAUGCAUGUUAAAAUUUGGACUAUUCA